GUGGACGCCAGUCUGCAUGGAGCCGACCUUGAAAUACCACCCUUUAAUGUUUGAUGUUCUAACGUGGACCCGUAAUCCGGGUUGCGGACAGUGUCUGGUGGGUAGUUUGACUGGGGCGGUCUCCUCCUAAAGAGUAACGGAGGAGCACGAAGGUUGGCUAAUCCUGGUCGGACAUCAGGAGGUUAGUGCAAUGGCAUAAGCCAGCUUGACUGCGAGCGUGACGGCGCGAGCAGGUGCGAAAGCAGGUCAUAGUGAUCCGGUGGUUCUGAAUGGAAGGGCCAUCGCUCAACGGAUAAAAGGUACUCCGGGGAUAACAGGCUGAUACCGCCCAAGAGUUCAUAUCGACGGCGGUGUUUGGCACCUCGAUGUCGGCUCAUCACAUCCUGGGGCUGAAGUAGGUCCCAAGGGUAUGGCUGUUCGCCAUUUAAAGUGGUACGCGAGCUGGGUUUAGAACGUCGUGAGACAGUUCGGUCCCUAUCUGCCGUGGGCGCUGGAGAACUGAGGGGGGCUGCUCCUAGUACGAGAGGACCGGAGUGGACGCAUCACUGGUGUUCGGGUUGUCAUGCCAAUGGCACUGCCCGGUAGCUAAAUGCGGAAGAGAUAAGUGCUGAAAGCAUCUAAGCACGAAACUUGCCCCGAGAUGAGUUCUCCCUGAGACUUAGAGUCUCCUGAAGGAACGUUGAAGACGACGACGUUGAUAGGCCGGGUGUGUAAGCGCAGCGAUGCGUUGAGCUAACCGGUACUAAUGAACCGUGAGGCUUAACCUUACAACGCCGAAGCUGUU
Molecule: ribosomal RNA, 784 nt
Filed under: Salmonella enterica
Lineage: Bacteria; Pseudomonadati; Pseudomonadota; Gammaproteobacteria; Enterobacterales; Enterobacteriaceae
Also listed under: 1 other name
Description: partial 23S ribosomal RNA
Rfam family: Bacterial large subunit ribosomal RNA
Source: RNAcentral